Molecule: ribosomal RNA, 504 nt
Filed under: uncultured bacterium
Lineage: Bacteria
Description: bacterial SSU rRNA
Rfam family: Bacterial small subunit ribosomal RNA
Source: RNAcentral
GAUGAACGCUAGCGGCAGGCCUAACACAUGCAAGUCGAGGGGUAUAGUUCUUCGGAACUAGAGACCGGCGCACGGGUGCGUAACGCGUAUGCAAUCUACCUUUUACAGGGGAAUAGCCCAGAGAAAUUUGGAUUAAUGCCCCAUAGUGUUAUAGAAUCGCAUGGUUUUAUAACUAAAGUUCCAACGGUAAAAGAUGAGCAUGCGUCCCAUUAGUUAGUUGGUAAGGUAACGGCUUACCAAGACAAUGAUGGGUAGGGGUCCUGAGAGGGAGAUCCCCCACACUGGUACUGAGACACGGACCAGACUCCUACGGGAGGCAGCAGUGAGGAAUAUUGGACAAUGGGCGCAAGCCUGAUCCAGCCAUGCCGCGUGCAGGAAGAAGGCCCUAUGGGUCGGUAAACUGCUUUUACACCGGAGAAAACCUCCCCUCGUGAGGGGAGCUGAUAGUAUGGUGAGAAUAAGCAUCGGCUAACUUCGUGCCAGCAGCCGCGGUAAUGUAUAGUG